GACGAACGCUGGCGGCGUGCUUAACACAUGCAAGUCGAACGGUAAGGCCCUUCGGGGUACGCGUGCUCCGAACGCGUACGUAUCACGAAGGCGAUCUGCCCUUCACCUCGACUUAAGCAUGGCUUCCUGGAUCUAAUACUAGUUCUGGCUAGCAACUGCUUGGUCGUUGUUGGGAUGAUUGAUCGGUGCCGGAUGGGCACGCGGCCUAUCAGCUUGUUGGUGGGGUAAUGGCCUACCAAGGCGAUGACGGGUAGCCGACCUGAGAGGGUGACCGGCCACACUGGGACUGAGACACGGCCCAGACUCCUACGGGAGGCAGCAGUGGGGAAUAUUGCACAAUGGGCGGAAGCCUGAUGCAGCGACGCCGCGUGAGGGAUGACGGCCUUCGGGUUGUAAACCGCUUUCGGCAGUGACGAAGCGUGAGUGACGGUAACGGGUGAAGAAGCACCGGCUAACUACGUG
RNAcentral lists this ribosomal RNA (462 nucleotides) under uncultured bacterium. Its description in RNAcentral is "partial 16S ribosomal RNA". It matches the Rfam family "Bacterial small subunit ribosomal RNA", at positions 28 to 507 of the family's 1533-position model. The record is from RNAcentral.